Molecule: non-coding RNA, 73 nt
Organism: Stegodyphus dumicola
Lineage: Eukaryota; Metazoa; Arthropoda; Arachnida; Araneae; Eresidae
Source: the annotation of a RefSeq genome assembly
GCUUUCGUAGUGCAGUGGACAGCACGCUGGUCUCGUAUUCCAGAGGUCCGUGGUUCGAUUCCCUGUGAAGGCG